GGCCCUAUCGUCUAACCUGGUUAGGACACUAGCUUUUCAAGCUAAGAAUACCGGUUCAAAUCCGGUUAGGGCCG
Molecule: transfer RNA, 74 nt
Filed under: bacterium
Lineage: Bacteria
Description: tRNA-Glu
Rfam family: tRNA
About the family: Transfer RNA (tRNA) molecules are approximately 80 nucleotides in length. Their secondary structure includes four short double-helical elements and three loops (D, anti-codon, and T loops).
Source: RNAcentral